RNAcentral lists this ribosomal RNA (375 nucleotides) under uncultured bacterium. RNAcentral describes it as "bacterial SSU rRNA". It matches the Rfam family "Bacterial small subunit ribosomal RNA", at positions 402 to 794 of the family's 1533-position model. The record is from RNAcentral.
UGAAUGAUGAAGGUCUUAGGAUAGUAAAAUUCUUUCACCGGGGGCGAUAAUGACGGUACCCGGAGAAGAAGCCCCGGCUAACUUCGUGCCAGCAGCCGCGGUAAUACGAAGGGGGCGAGCGUUUCUCGGAAUUACUGGGCGUAAAGGGCGCGUAGGCGGAUCGUUAAGUCAGGGGUGAAAUCCCGGGGCUCAACCUCGGAAUCGCCCUUGAUACUGGCGAUCUUGAGUAUGAGAGAGGUGUGUGGAACUCCGAGUGUAGAGGUGAAAUUCGUAGAUAUUCGGAAGAACACCAGUGGCGAGGGCGACAUUCUGGCUCAUUACUGACGCUGAGGCGCGAAAGCGUGGGGAGCACACAGGAUUAGAUACCCUGGUUGU